GACGAACGCUGGCGGCGUGCUUAACGCAUGCAAGUCGAAGGGAAAGGCGCUGCUUUUGUGGGGUGCUCGAGUGGCGAGCGGGUGUGAAACACGUGAGUAACCUGCCCAGGACUGGGGGAAAACGUGAGGAAACUGGGGCUAAUAGCGGAAAGGAGCGCCUGUGGCAUGGUGGGGGUUGGAAAGUUUCGGCGGUGGGGGAUGGAGUCGCGGCUUAUCAGCUUGUUGGUGGGGUAGUGGCUUACCAAGGAUUUGACGGGUAGCCGGCCUGAGAGGGUGACCGGCCACAUUGGGACUGUGAGACGCCGCAGACUCCUACGGGGGGCAGCGGUGGGGAAUAUAGUACACUGGGCGGACGCCUGUUGUAGCAACGCCGCGUGCGGAAUAACGGCCUUCGCGUUGUAAACAGCGUUCGCCGGUGACGAGGCGUGAGUGACGGUACUGGGUAAAGAAGCACCGGCUAACUACGUG
RNAcentral lists this ribosomal RNA (468 nucleotides) under uncultured bacterium. RNAcentral describes it as "partial 16S ribosomal RNA". It matches the Rfam family "Bacterial small subunit ribosomal RNA", at positions 28 to 507 of the family's 1533-position model. The record is from RNAcentral.